This 771-nucleotide ribosomal RNA is filed under the name Lepidoblepharon ophthalmolepis. Its description in RNAcentral is "partial 12S ribosomal RNA". It matches the Rfam family "Bacterial small subunit ribosomal RNA", at positions 8 to 1278 of the family's 1533-position model. The record is from RNAcentral. Lineage: Eukaryota; Metazoa; Chordata; Actinopteri; Pleuronectiformes; Citharidae.
CAAAGGUUUGGUCCUGGCUUUUCUAUCAGUUUUAGCUAAACUUACACAUGCAAGUCUCCGCACCCCUGUGAGAAUGCCCGUGACUCCUUACUCAGGAGAGCGGAGCCGGUAUCAGGCACAACCAAUUAGCCCAUGACACCUUGCUUAGCCACACCCUCAAGGGAACCCAGCAGUGAUAAAUUUUAGAAAAAUAAGUGAAAGCUUGACCUAGUUAAAGCUAUUUAGGGCUGGUCAAAACCCGUGCCAGCCACCGCGGUUAAACGAGAAGCCCAAAUUGAUAGAUAGCGGCAUAAAGGGUGGUUAGGGAUUACAAAAACUAAAGCCGAACACUUUCAAAGCAGUUAUACGCCCCCGAAAGCAUGAAGAUCAACCACGAAAGUGGCUUUAUUUACCUGAACCCACGAAAGNUNAGAAACAAACUGGGAUUAGAUACCCCACUAUGCUUAGCCGUAAACUUAGAUGUAUAACACAUACACACUCCGCCCGGGGAGUACAAACAAAAGUUUGAAACCCAAAGGANUUGGCGGUGCUUAAUAUCCCCCUAGAGGAGCCUGUUCUAGAAUCGAUACCCCUCGUUAAACCUCACCCUCUCUUGUCCCCACCCCGCCUGUAUACCUCCGUCGUCAGCUCACCCUGUGAAGGCCCAACAGUAAGCAAAAUUUGGCACAGCCCAAAAAGUCAGGUCAAGGUGCAGCAUAUGAGGGGGGAAGAAAUGGGCUACAUUCCCUACCAGUAGGGGAUACGGAAAUAUAAAUUGAAAAAUAAUAUUGA